GCAUUCAAUAUUGCAUCAGCAUGUGACAUUAUAUAACUGAUAUGAAAAGUCUGGUAAUUAACAGUUAGUGAAUGAAAUUAGCAAGUGGGUUUUCCAUCAGAGGGGCCAUCUAAAGACGUUAUGAGACACUGAAAAGUUGGCGAAGCAAAUGGCCCUGCAAUGUAUAGAAUCAAAGAUAAUCUGGAAAUUUUCUUCGAGAUAUAUGACUGGUCUGAAAAGAGCUAUAUGUGGCCAAUCAUGUUCAGGUCCAGUUCUAUAUGAUCAUUCCUUAUGUGCUACAGACCCUAUCAACUGAUCAAAAGGGUCGUUAUCAUACGGUACAUCAUUCAAGGUCCCUGAUGUUUAUGGAGUUUUCUGAUUCAAAAUUGAGUGUCACAGACUUGGAUACAGUUGCUUAUCGCUCUCUAAACAGGUGAAUUUCUCAAUACUUUCGGCUGCACAAUAGAAUACAUGUCAUGCAUGAUUCUUUCAAUGUGAGGAAACCAUCAUCGAGUUUAUUUGUGUUCUUUUUUCACCGCGUGAAAAUGUGAUAUCCAUUCAUUUCUGCUUCAGUGUCACAGACUGGUAUUAAAAUAACUAUUCGCUGUCAUUUUC
This is a long non-coding RNA of Tripterygium wilfordii, 594 nucleotides long. RefSeq lists it as uncharacterized. The transcript has 4 exons. NCBI's taxonomy places the organism in Eukaryota, Viridiplantae, Streptophyta, Magnoliopsida, Celastrales, Celastraceae. The record is from RefSeq and is a predicted model, not a curated record.